This 301-nucleotide ribosomal RNA is filed under the name uncultured bacterium. RNAcentral describes it as "partial 16S ribosomal RNA". It matches the Rfam family "Bacterial small subunit ribosomal RNA", at positions 509 to 807 of the family's 1533-position model. The record is from RNAcentral.
CAGUAGCCACGGUAAUACGAACCGUGCGAACGUUAUUCGGAAUUACUGGGCUUAAAGCGCGUGUAGGCGGGCCGCCACGUCGGUUGCUGAAAUCCCCCGGCUCAACCGGGGAAGUGGCAUCGAUACGAGCGGCCUUGAGGGGGGUAGGGGGAUCUGGAACUUCCGGUGGAGCGGUGAAAUGCGUUGAGAUCGGAAGGAACGCCCGUGGCGAAAGCGAGGUCCUGGACCCUUUCUGACGCUGAGACGCGAAAGCCAGGGGAGCGAACGGGAUUAGAUACCCCAGUAGUCCCUGUCUCUUAUA